Long non-coding RNA from Amblyraja radiata (thorny skate), 297 nucleotides. RefSeq lists it as uncharacterized. The record is from RefSeq and is a predicted model, not a curated record. Lineage: Eukaryota; Metazoa; Chordata; Chondrichthyes; Rajiformes; Rajidae. The transcript has 3 exons.
CUGUCCGAGUGCCUCCAUGUGUCAACAAGCCAAGCCGGACAGUUUAUUGAAAGCUUCCUCCAGAAGUACAAGGAAGUGCGCACAUUCACUCAGAGAACCAUACAGCAGUGCCACCAACGAGGUCACGUUGUUUCAAUUAUGGGGCGCAAGAGAUCGUUCCUUCUCAUCAACUCACAAGACUACAGUGCCCGAAAUCAAGCAGAGAGACAGGCCAUCAACUUUGUAGUUCAAGGUUCUGCAGCUGAUAUUUGUAAGAUGGCAAUGAUUAAGAUUUUCAUGAGCAUUGCUUCCUCCUCC